This 345-nucleotide unclassified non-coding RNA is filed under the name soil metagenome. RNAcentral's name for it is "partial contains 5.8S ribosomal RNA, internal transcribed spacer 2, and large subunit ribosomal RNA". The stretch from base 1 to 119 matches the Rfam family "5.8S ribosomal RNA", at positions 35 to 154 of the family's 154-position model. The record is from RNAcentral.
GAUGAAGAACGUAGCGAAAUGCGAUACGUAAUGUGAAUUGCAAAUUCAGUGAAUCAUCGAGUCUUUGAACGCACAUUGCGCCCCCUGGUAUUCCGGGGGGCAUGCCUGUCCGAGCGUCAUUGCUGCCCUCAAGCACGGCUUGUGUGUUGGGCCCCGUCCUCCGAUCCCGGGGGACGGGCCCGAAAGGCAGCGGCGGCACCGCGUCCGGUCCUCGAGCGUAUGGGGCUUUGUCACCCGCUCUGUAGGCCCGGCCGGCGCUUGCCGAUCAACCCAAAUUUUUAUCCAGGUUGACCUCGGAUCAGGUAGGGAUAUCCGCUGAACUUAAGCAUAUCAAUAAGCGGAGGA